GACGAACGCUGGCGGCGUGCUUAACACAUGCAAGUCGAACGGAAAGGCCCUGCUUUUGUGGGGUGCUCGAGUGGCGAACGGGUGAGUAACACGUGAGUAACCUGCCCUUGACUUUGGGAUAACUUCAGGAAACUGGGGCUAAUACCGGAUAGGAGCUCCUGCUGCAUGGUGGGGGUUGGAAAGUUUCGGCGGUUGGGGAUGGACUCGCGGCUUAUCAGCUUGUUGGUGGGGUAGUGGCUUACCAAGGCUUUGACGGGUAGCCGGCCGGGGAGGGUGACCGGCCACAUGGGGUCGGGGAGGCGGCCGGAGCGCCUCCGGGGGGAAGGGGGGGGGAAUGUUCGAGAAUGGCCGGGUGCGUGAUGAAGGAUCGCGGGUUGCGGAGUUCCGGCCUUCGGUUUGAAACCCGGUUUGGCUGGAAAGGAAACGUGGUGACGGUAAAUGGGUAAAAAGAGACGGCUAACUUCGUG
Molecule: ribosomal RNA, 467 nt
Filed under: uncultured bacterium
Lineage: Bacteria
Description: partial 16S ribosomal RNA
Rfam family: Bacterial small subunit ribosomal RNA
Source: RNAcentral